UGGUCGAAAUAGCCUUGGUGAGUGGC
Molecule: non-coding RNA, 26 nt
Filed under: Rattus norvegicus (Norway rat)
Lineage: Eukaryota; Metazoa; Chordata; Mammalia; Rodentia; Muridae
Source: RNAcentral